RNAcentral lists this ribosomal RNA (443 nucleotides) under uncultured bacterium. Its description in RNAcentral is "partial 16S ribosomal RNA". It matches the Rfam family "Bacterial small subunit ribosomal RNA", at positions 338 to 795 of the family's 1533-position model. The record is from RNAcentral.
CCUACGGGAGGCUGCAGUGGGGAAUAUUGGUCAAUGGGCGCAAGCCUGACCCAGCAACGCCGCGUGAAGGAUGAAGGCUUUCGGGUUGUAAACUUCUUUUGUCAGGGACGAAGCAAGUGACGGUACCUGACGAAUCAGCCACGGCUAACUACGUGCCAGCAGCCGCGGUAAUACGUAGGUGGGAAGUGUUAUCCGGAUUUACUGGGUGUAAAGGGCGUGUAGGCGGGACUGCAAGUCAGAUGUGAAAACCACGGGCUCAACCUGUGGCCUGCAUUUGAAACUGUAGUUCUUGAGUACUGGAGAGGCAGACGGAAUUCCUGGUGUAGCGGUGAAAUGCGUAGAUAUUAGGCGGAACACCAGUGGCGAAGGCGGUCUGCUGGACAGCAACUGACGCUGAGGCACGAAAGCGUGGGGAGCGAACAGGAUUAGAUACCCUAGUAGUC